Capsicum annuum is the source of this 72-nucleotide non-coding RNA. Lineage: Eukaryota; Viridiplantae; Streptophyta; Magnoliopsida; Solanales; Solanaceae. The record is from Rfam.
GGAUCCGUAGCGCAAUGGUAGCGCCUAUGAUUCUAGAUCAGAAGGUUGCACGACUGAAUCACAUCGGAUCCA